RNAcentral lists this ribosomal RNA (1008 nucleotides) under uncultured bacterium. RNAcentral's name for it is "bacterial SSU rRNA". It matches the Rfam family "Bacterial small subunit ribosomal RNA", at positions 356 to 1376 of the family's 1533-position model. The record is from RNAcentral.
GGGGAAUAUUGCACAAUGGGCGCAAGCCUGAUGCAGCGACGCCGCGUGAGGGAUGGAGGCCUUCGGGUUGUAAACCUCUUUUAUCGGGGAGCAAGCGAGAGUGAGUUUACCCGUUGAAUAAGCACCGGCUAACUACGUGCCAGCAGCCGCGGUAAUACGUAGGGUGCAAGCGUUAUCCGGAAUUAUUGGGCGUAAAGGGCUCGUAGGCGGCUCGUCGCGUCCGGUGUGAAAGUCCAUCGCUUAACGGUGGAUCCGCGCCGGGUACGGGCGGGCUUGAGUGCGGUAGGGGAGACUGGAAUUCCCGGUGUAACGGUGGAAUGUGUAGAUAUCGGGAAGAACACCAAUGGCGAAGGCAGGUCUCUGGGCCGUUACUGACGCUGAGGAGCGAAAGCGUGGGGAGCGAACAGGAUUAGAUACCCUGGUAGUCCACGCCGUAAACGGUGGAUGCUGGAUGUGGGGCCCGUUCCACGGGUUCCGUGUCGGAGCUAACGCGUUAAGCAUCCCGCCUGGGGAGUACGGCCGCAAGGCUAAAACUCAAAGAAAUUGACGGGGGCCCGCACAAGCGGCGGAGCAUGCGGAUUAAUUCGAUGCAACGCGAAGAACCUUACCUGGGCUUGACAUGUUCCCGACGGUCGUAGAGAUACGGCUUCCCUUCGGGGCGGGUUCACAGGUGGUGCAUGGUCGUCGUCAGCUCGUGUCGUGAGAUGUUGGGUUAAGUCCCGCAACGAGCGCAACCCUCGCCCCGUGUUGCCAGCGGAUUAUGCCGGGAACUCACGGGGGACCGCCGGGGUUAACUCGGAGGAAGGUGGGGAUGACGUCAGAUCAUCAUGCCCCUUACGUCCAGGGCUUCACGCAUGCUACAAUGGCCGGUACAACGGGAUGCGACGCGGCGACGCGGAGCGGAUCCCUAAAAGCAGUCUUAGUUCGGAUUGUAGGCUGCAACCCGCCUACAUGAAGUCGGAAUUGCUAGUAAUCGCAGAUCAGCAUGCUGCGGUGAAUACGUUCCCG